CUACGGGAGGCUGCAGUGGGGAAUAUUGGGCAAUGGGCGCAAGCCUGACCCAGCAACGCCGCGUGAGGGAAGAAGGUUUUCGGAUUGUAAACCUCUGUCCCCCCUGACGAAACAAAUGACGGUAAGGGGGGAGGAAGCUCCGGCUAACUACGUGCCAGCAGCCGCGGUAAUACGUAGGGAGCGAGCGUUGUCCGGAAUUACUGGGCGUAAAGGGUGCGUAGGCGGCAUAUUAAGUCAGGUGUGAAAUUUUCGGGCUCAACCCGGAACCUGCAUUUGAAACUGAUAAGCUUGAGUGUGAGAGAGGUAAGUGGAAUUCCUAGUGUAGCGGUGACAUGCGUAGAUAUUAGGAGGAACACCAGUGGCGAAGGCGACUUACUGGCUCAUAACUGACGCUGAGGCACGAAAGCGUGGGGAGCAAACAGGAUUAGAUACCCGCGUAGUC
RNAcentral lists this ribosomal RNA (442 nucleotides) under uncultured bacterium. RNAcentral's name for it is "partial 16S ribosomal RNA". It matches the Rfam family "Bacterial small subunit ribosomal RNA", at positions 339 to 795 of the family's 1533-position model. The record is from RNAcentral.